CCCCGCUGCCGUGUCCCCUGCGGCCGGCCAGCCGCGUCCCCCAGCCCCGGCCUCCCGCGGACCCAUGCCCGCCCGUAUCGGCUACUACGAGAUCGACCGCACCAUCGGCAAGGGCAACUUCGCGGUGGUCAAGCGGGCCACGCACCUCGUCACCAAGGCCAAGGUUGCUAUCAAGAUCAUAGAUAAGACCCAGUUGGAUGAAGAAAACUUGAAGAAGAUUUUCCGGGAAGUUCAAAUUAUGAAGAUGCUUUGCCACCCCCAUAUCAUCAGGCUCUACCAGGUUAUGGAGACAGAACGGAUGAUUUAUCUGGUGACAGAAUAUGCUAGUGGAGGGGAAAUAUUUGACCACCUGGUGGCCCAUGGUAGAAUGGCAGAAAAGGAGGCACGUCGGAAGUUCAAACAGAUCGUCACAGCUGUCUAUUUUUGUCACUGUCGGAACAUUGUUCAUCGUGAUUUAAAAGCUGAAAAUUUACUUCUGGAUGCCAAUCUGAAUAUCAAAAUAGCAGGUGAAAAAUGUUCUAAAACUGAUUGUGGUAAUCGUUGCACAACUCUGUGAAUGUGCUAAAAGCCACUGAGCAUUACACUUUAAAUGGGUGAAUUGUAUGGGAUAUGAAAUACAAGAAAUAUGUUAUGGCCAGGUGCAGUGGCUCAUGCCUGUAAUCCCAGCGCUUCGGAAGGCCUAGGUGGGAGGAUCAUUUGAGCUCAGGAGUUCGAGACCAGCCUGGGCAACACAGCAAGACCCUGUCUCUAUUUUAUUCUAUGUU
Molecule: small RNA, 764 nt
Filed under: Pan troglodytes (chimpanzee)
Lineage: Eukaryota; Metazoa; Chordata; Mammalia; Primates; Hominidae
Description: processed transcript
Source: RNAcentral